This 967-nucleotide ribosomal RNA is filed under the name Phytophthora capsici. RNAcentral describes it as "LSU rRNA". It matches the Rfam family "Eukaryotic large subunit ribosomal RNA", at positions 81 to 841 of the family's 3401-position model. The record is from RNAcentral. Lineage: Eukaryota; Oomycota; Peronosporomycetes; Peronosporales; Peronosporaceae.
UAGUAACGGCGAAGUGAAGCGGGAAGAGCUCAAGCUUAAAAUCUCCGUGCAAGUUUUGCGCGGCGAAUUGUAGUCUAUAGAGGCGUGGUCAGCGUGGGCGCUUGGGGCAAGUUCCUUGGAAGAGGACAGCAUGGAGGGUGAUACUCCCGUUCAUCCCUGAGUGGCUCGUGCGUACGACCCGUUUUCUUUGAGUCGCGUUGUUUGGGAAUGCAGCGCAAAGUAGGUGGUAAAUUCCAUCUAAAGCUAAAUAUUGGUGCGAGACCGAUAGCGAACAAGUACCGUGAGGGAAAGAUGAAAAGAACUUUGAAAAGAGAGUUAAAGAGUACCUGAAACUGCUGAAAGGGAACCGAAUCGUUUCCAGUGUCUAUAAUCCGUGGCAUAUUUCAUUGGCGAGCGUUUGCGUGCGUGUGCUGUGGCAGUGGCUUUUUUGGCUGCGCCUGGCGUGUGUGCUGUGAGUGUUUGCUGGUGCCCUGUGCUGCGGUGGGACGUCAAGGUCAGUUCGUAUGCUGCGGGAAAUGGCUGCCGAGGAGGUAGGGCUUACGCUCCGCGUUUGUCUGUUAUAUCUUGGUGGACGAGUCGUCGUGGUUGGGACUGAGGUGCCUACAACGUGCUUUUGAGUGGGUUUGUGUCUCCGUGUGCGCCGUGUGCGGAUAGCUUGCUAUGCGUGUGUGGUUGUGUGUGGAUUGAUGCGGGCUUUAACUUGUCGCCGUUCGGGACGUUGACGAAAUGGAGCGAUCCGACCCGUCUUGAAACACGGACCAAGGAGUCUAACAUGUGUGCAAGUGUUAGGGUGUGGAAACCCCAGCGCGAAAUGAAAGUGAAGGGCAGCGCAAGUUGUCUGAGGUAGGAAACGUUGCGGGCCUCGGUCUGCGGCGUGGCACUAUCGACCGAUCAUGAACCUUCGUGGAGAAAGAUUUGAGUUUGAGCACAUAUGUUGGUACCCGAAAGAUGGUGAACUAUGCCUGAG